Molecule: ribosomal RNA, 903 nt
Filed under: uncultured archaeon
Lineage: Archaea
Description: bacterial SSU rRNA
Rfam family: Archaeal small subunit ribosomal RNA
Source: RNAcentral
CCCCACUGCUAUCGAGGUGGGACUAAGCCAUGCCAGUCGAACGACCCGGACUAUGGCGGGGAGUGGCAGACUGCUCAGUAACACGUAGCUAACCUACCCUCGGGACGGGGAUAACCCCGGGAAACUGGGGCUAAUACCCGAUAGGUGUGGAUUCCUGGAAUGGUGCCAUGCCUAAACGUAAGCACAUCCAUGUUUGUGUGCACGCCCGAGGAUGGGGCUGCGGCCGAUCAGGCAGUUGGUGAGGUAACGGCUCACCAAACCUUUGACCGGUACGGGCCAUGAGAGUGGUAGCCCGGAGAUGGGCACUGAGACAAGGGCCCAGGCCCUACGGGGCGCAGCAGGCGCGAAACCUCCACAAUUCACGCAAGUGAGAUGGGGUUACCUCGAGUGCCAUCUGAAGAAGGUGGCUUUUCCAUGGUGUAAUGAGCCGUGGGAAUAAGGGGGGGGCAAGACUGGUGUCAGCCGCCGCGGUAACACCAGCCCCCCGAGUGGUGGGGAUGAUUAUUUGGCCUAAAGCGUCCGUAGCCAGCUCGGUAAAUCUCUCGUUAAAUCCAGCGUCCUAAGCGUUGGGCUGCGAGGGAAACUGCCGAACUAGAGGGUGGGAGAGGUCAGCGGUAUUCCUGGGGUAGGGGCGAAAUCCAUUGAUCCCAGGAGGACCACCAGUGGCGAAGGCUGCUGACUAGAACACGCCUGACGGUGAGGGACGAAAGCUGGGGUAGCGAAUCGGAUUAGAUACCCGAGUAGUCCCAGCCGUAAACGAUGCGGGCUAGGUGUUGGGUCGGCCAUGCGCCGCCUCAGUGCCACAGGGAAGCCAUUAAGCCUGCCGCCUGGGGAGUACGGCCGCAAGGCUGAAACUUAAAGGAAUUGGCGGGGGAGCACCACCAGGCGUGAAGCCUGCGGUUU